This 408-nucleotide long non-coding RNA is filed under the name Homo sapiens (human). RNAcentral describes it as "long non-coding RNA NONHSAT152599.1". The record is from RNAcentral. Lineage: Eukaryota; Metazoa; Chordata; Mammalia; Primates; Hominidae.
GCGUCUUCAUUCUUGAAGUCGGUGAGACCGAGAACCCUCCAAUUGCAGACACAAUAUUACAUGAGAUGCCGUUUGAAGCUUUCACCUGGAGUUGGCACAUCUCUGAAACUCCAAACACAUAACAAUAAUAAGCAUUUAGUCCCCAUCAUUUUGCCUUACCUUACUUCCUGGUGGGCAGCAUUGCAGUUUUUUCAAAAUCCAGGCACGGAUUGGGCUUACUGCACACUUCAGCGUAGGAGCACGUCGGUUCACCAUUAGAGUAACGGAUCUCAGGGGUCAAAGUUGUGGACUCAAUCGUAGAGGAAACCACUGGGCUCACCAAGAGAAUGAUCGUUUCCGGCCCCUUUCUACAUAACUUCAUGCAACACGGAGACUCCUGAAAGUUGUAGAUGAGUUGGAUUUCUGAAA